RNAcentral lists this long non-coding RNA (432 nucleotides) under Homo sapiens (human). RNAcentral describes it as "non-protein coding lnc-CTNNA3-8:1". The record is from RNAcentral. Lineage: Eukaryota; Metazoa; Chordata; Mammalia; Primates; Hominidae.
GACCACACUGCAGAGUUCAAGGAGGCCUUCCAGCUGUUUGACUGAACAGGUGAUGGCAAGAUCCUGUACAGCCAGCGUGGGGACAUGAUGAGGGCCCUGGGCCAGAAAUUCACCAACACUGAGGUGCCCAAAGUCCUGGGGAGCUCCAAGAUGAAAUGAAUGUGAAGGUGCUGAACUUUGAGCACUUUCUGCCCAUGCUGCAGAUGGUGGUGGCCAAAAACAAGGACCAGGGCAUCUAUGAGGAUUAUGUCAAAGGACUUAGGUGUUUGACAAGGAAGGAAAUGGCACGGUCAUGGGUGCUGAAAUCUGGCAUAUUCUUGUCACACUGGGUGAGAAGAUGACAGAGGAAGAAGUAGACAUGCUAGGGGCAGGGCACGAGGAUAACAUUGGUUGUAUUAACUAGGAAGAGCUCAUCUGCAUGGUGCCAAAUGG